ACGCUGGCGGCGUGCCUAACACAUGCAAGUCGAACGGAGAUAUGAUUUCGGUUGUAUCUUAGUGGCGAACGGGUGAGUAACGCGUGAACAACCUGACUCUAAGAGGGGGAUAACACUCGGAAACGGGUGCUAAUACCGCAUAAGACCACGACCUGGCAUCAGGAUGAGGUCAAAGGAGCAAUCCGCUGAGAGAGGGGUUCGCGUCCCAUUAGAUAGAUGGCGGGUAACGGCCCACCAUGUCAACGAUGGGUAGCCGAGCUGAGAGGCUGAUCGGCCACACUGGAACUGAGACACGGUCCAGACUCCUACGGGAGGCAGCAGUGGGGAAUAUUGGGCAAUGGGCGCAAGCCUGACCCAGCAACGCCGCGUGAGGGAAGAAGGCUUUCGGGUUGUAAACCUCUGUCCUUGGUGACGAAACAAAUGACGGUAGCCAAGGAGGAAGCCCCGGCUAACUACGUG
This 459-nucleotide ribosomal RNA is filed under the name uncultured bacterium. Its description in RNAcentral is "bacterial SSU rRNA". It matches the Rfam family "Bacterial small subunit ribosomal RNA", at positions 33 to 507 of the family's 1533-position model. The record is from RNAcentral.